RNAcentral lists this ribosomal RNA (496 nucleotides) under uncultured bacterium. RNAcentral's name for it is "partial 16S ribosomal RNA". It matches the Rfam family "Bacterial small subunit ribosomal RNA", at positions 28 to 506 of the family's 1533-position model. The record is from RNAcentral.
GAUGAACGCUGGCGGCGUGCCUAAUACAUGCAAGUCGAGCGAACGGACGAGAAGCUUGCUUCUCUGAUGUUAGCGGCGGACGGGUGAGUAACACGUGGAUAACCUACCUAUAAGACUGGGAUAACUUCGGGAAACCGGAGCUAAUACCGGAUAAUAUUUUGAACCGCAUGGUUCAAAAGUGAAAGACGGUCUUGCUGUCACUUAUAGAUGGAUCCGCGCUGCAUUAGCUAGUUGGUAAGGUAACGGCUUACCAAGGCAACGAUGCAUAGCCGACCUGAGAGGGUGAUCGGCCACACUGGAACUGAGACACGGUCCAGACUCCUACGGGAGGCAGCAGUAGGGAAUCUUCCGCAGUGGGCGAAAGCCUGACGGAGCAACGCCGCGUGAGUGAUGAAGGUCUUCGGAUCGUAAAACUCUGUUAUUAGGGAAGAACAGAUGUGUAAGUAACUGUGCACAUCUGGACGGUACCUAAUCAGAAAGCCACGGCGAACUACGU